RNAcentral lists this ribosomal RNA (254 nucleotides) under uncultured bacterium. Its description in RNAcentral is "partial 16S ribosomal RNA". It matches the Rfam family "Bacterial small subunit ribosomal RNA", at positions 524 to 776 of the family's 1533-position model. The record is from RNAcentral.
UACGAAGGGGGCUAGCGUUGCUCGGAAUGACUGGGCGUAAAGGGCGCGUAGGCGGAAUGCUUUGUCGGGCGUGAAAUUCCAGGGCUCAACCUUGGGGCUGCGUUCGAGGCGGGUAUUCUAGAGUGGGGAAGAGGGUCGUGGAAUUCCCAGUGUAGAGGUGAAAUUCGUAGAUAUUGGGAAGAACACCGGUGGCGAAGGCGGCGACCUGGUCCUUUUACUGACGCUGAGGCGCGAAAGCGUGGGGAGCAAACAUG